RNAcentral lists this ribosomal RNA (486 nucleotides) under uncultured bacterium. Its description in RNAcentral is "bacterial SSU rRNA". It matches the Rfam family "Bacterial small subunit ribosomal RNA", at positions 899 to 1397 of the family's 1533-position model. The record is from RNAcentral.
ACUCAAAGGAAUUGACGGGGGCCCGCACAAGCAGCGGAGCGUGUGGUUUAAUUCGAGGCAACGCGAAGAACCUUACCAGGGUUGGACAUGCUGGUGGUAGGGAGGUGAAAGCCGACCGACUCUUCGGAGAGCCAGCACAGGUGCUGCAUGGCUGUCGUCAGCUCGUGCCGUGAGGUGUUAGGUUAAGUCCUGUAACGAGCGCAACCCACGUCGUUAGUUACAAGUGUCUAGCGAGACUGCCGGUGAUAAGCCGGAGGAAGGUGUGGAUGACGUCAAGUCAGCAUGGCCUUUAUAUCCUGGGCUACACACACGCUACAAUGGCCGGUACAAUGGGUCGCCAAGCCGCGAGGCGGAGCCAAUCCCGCAAAGCCGGUCACAGUUCGGAUUGCAGGCUGCAACUCGCCUGCAUGAAGUCGGAGUUGCUAGUAACCGCAGGUCAGCAACACUGCGGUGAAUACGUUCCCGGGCCUUGUACACACCGCCCGU